GCUUAUGAGGUUAAGGUGAAACUACUGAAGAUGCUUUAUGCUUGGCCAGUGAGAUGAACUGUCAUACUUCUCGUAUAUCAUCCAUUUUUAUUGUUGAACUUUAUCUAGUGGUCAUAUAUGUGUCUGGUUGAAAAACAACAUUUGCCUUGUUUUCGUAUUUGUUUGAAAAACAAUAUGUGUAUUGUAAAAGUUUAUAAAUUAUCGACUUAUCGUAUUUGUUUAUCAUAAGUAAAAUGAUUGUUCUACAACAAUUCAUAUUUUCAUAUUGUUGUAACUAAUGUUCUUGCAAACAUAUGUAUGUGAAGAAAUUGUUGUGAAACUGACUACGAUUGCAAGAAGAAAUGAUCUUUGUU
RNAcentral lists this long non-coding RNA (353 nucleotides) under Brassica rapa (field mustard). RNAcentral's name for it is "long non-coding RNA (BRAP_LNC006134)". Lineage: Eukaryota; Viridiplantae; Streptophyta; Magnoliopsida; Brassicales; Brassicaceae. The record is from RNAcentral.